This 433-nucleotide ribosomal RNA is filed under the name Boulengerula sp. Lake Kenyatta Forest. RNAcentral describes it as "LSU rRNA". It matches the Rfam family "Bacterial large subunit ribosomal RNA", at positions 1926 to 2554 of the family's 2925-position model. The record is from RNAcentral. Lineage: Eukaryota; Metazoa; Chordata; Amphibia; Gymnophiona; Herpelidae.
AACGGCCGCGGUAUUCUGACCGUGCAAAGGUAGCAUAAUAACUUGUCAUUUAAAUGAUGACUAGUAUGAAUGGCAAAACGAAAACUUUACUGUCUCCCUUAUUUAAUCAAUGAAACUGAUCUUCUCGUACAAAAGCGAGAAUAUAAAUACAAGACGAGAAGACCCUAUGGAACUUUAAACUCAUUAUUAACUAUUAUAAUAACAAUAAUAACUUAACUAACCGUUUUCGGUUGGGGCGACCACGGAGCAUAAAAACCCUCCGAGAAAAACAACCUAGGUUACACACCAAAGUAAUAAAAUAUUUAAAUAAUUGACCCAAUAAAAUUGAUCAACGGACCAAGUUACCCUAGGGAUAACAGCGCAAUCUUAUCUUAGAGUCCAUAUCGACGAUAAGGUUUACGACCUCGAUGUUGGAUCAGGAUACCCAAACAGU